This 568-nucleotide long non-coding RNA is filed under the name Homo sapiens (human). RNAcentral describes it as "HSALNT0320513". The record is from RNAcentral. Lineage: Eukaryota; Metazoa; Chordata; Mammalia; Primates; Hominidae.
CCAAGGAUGGAAGAAUAAUUUUACCUAUUACAACCUGGUAGUUGGAGAAAAGACUUGGUGAGUGGAGGCGAUCUAGACCUUCCAACAGGUGAAGAAAAGAAGCAAGCAAGGAAGAAUAGCAUUAAUAAGAAGCUCAGGAUGGACAACUGUUUUAGAGGGGGAAAUGUUGGCAUAUCAGUUUCCGCUCUCUGGUGCAACAUGAGAACGUGCAUUCAAGAGAAGAAUUUGCCUCUAUUCAAUCUACCUGGCUCAAUCCCAGAACCAUGCGUCCAACUUCAUCUAUUUUUUGACCUGUAAAUCUCUAUUAUUCAAACGACAACUAGGCAGCCACGUUCUUUUUCCCUUGCUAUUUUGGCCUAUUACAUAAAAACUUUGGCCUUUGGAAAUAUGGAACAGAUUAAUUUUCUCUCCUCCCUCCACUUCUCACUUCUCCUAGGUGGUCUGUCCUAUUAGAAGAAUGAACAGUGUAUUUGACUCUGCCUCUGCUGAGUUUUCUUUAAAUAAAAUAUUUGAAUAUAGCUUAAAUAUCUGUUGAAUUUAUGAUUGUAUUAAAGGUAAUUUAUUUCCU